GACGAACGCUGGCGGCGUGCUUAACACAUGCAAGUCGAACGGUAAGGCCCUUCGGGGUACACGAGUGGCGAACGGGUGAGUAACACGUGGGUGAUCUGCCCUGCACUUCGGGAUAAGCCUGGGGAACUGGGUCUAAUACCGGAUAGGAACAUGCGCUUCACGGUGUGUGGUGGAAAGCUAUUGCGGUGUGGGAUGGGCCCGCGGCCUAUCAGCUUGUUGGUGGGGUAAUGGCCUACCAAGGCGACGACGGGUAGCCGGCCUGAGAGGGUGACCGGCCACACUGGGACUGAGGUACGGCCCAGACUCCUACGGGAGGCAGCAGUGGGGAAUAUUGCACAAUGGGCGCAAGCCUGAUGCAGCGACGCCGCGUGAGGGAUGACGGCCUUCGGGUUGUAAACCUCUUGCAGUAGGGACGAAGCGCAAGUGACGGUACCUACAGAAGAAGGACCGGCCAACUACGUGCCAGCCGCCGCAGUAA
RNAcentral lists this ribosomal RNA (478 nucleotides) under uncultured bacterium. RNAcentral describes it as "partial 16S ribosomal RNA". It matches the Rfam family "Bacterial small subunit ribosomal RNA", at positions 28 to 523 of the family's 1533-position model. The record is from RNAcentral.